AGUGAACGCUGGCGGCGUGCCUAAUACAUGCAAGUCGAACGGAGUGGCGCACGGGUGAGUAAUAUAUAGCUAAUCUGCCCCUUGCUGUAGGACAACAGUUAGAAAUGACUGCUAAUACUCCAUAGGAAGGGAGGAGAGUAUAUCGUAUCAGCUGGUCGGUGGGGUAACGGCCGACCGAGGCGAGGACGCGUAACUGGUCUGAGAGGAUGAUCAGUCAGAUUCGAACUGAUACGCGGGCCAGACUCCUACGGGAGGGAGCAGUAGGGAAUAUUGCGCAAUGGGGGAAACGCUGACGGAGCAACGGCGCGUGGAGGAUGAAACUUUUUCGAGCGUAAACUACGUUUGUUAGGGAAGCGGUAGCUAACGAAUAAGCACCGGCUAACUCCGUGCCAGCAGCCGCGGUAAUUC
RNAcentral lists this ribosomal RNA (408 nucleotides) under uncultured bacterium. Its description in RNAcentral is "partial 16S ribosomal RNA". It matches the Rfam family "Bacterial small subunit ribosomal RNA", at positions 29 to 526 of the family's 1533-position model. The record is from RNAcentral.